UACGGAGGGUGCGAGCGUUGUCCGGAAUCACUGGGCGUAAAGGGCGUGUAGGCGGCGCGGGCAGUCAACGGUGAAAGCUUGGGGCUCAACCCCGAGUCGGCCGUCGAUACUCCCGGGCUGGAGCACUGUAGAGGCAGGUGGAAUUCCGGGUGUAGCGGUGGAAUGCGUAGAGAUCCGGAAGAACACCGGUGGCGAAGGCGGCCUGCUGGGCAGUAGCUGACGCUGAGGCGCGACAGCGUGGGGAGCAAACAGG
This 253-nucleotide ribosomal RNA is filed under the name uncultured bacterium. Its description in RNAcentral is "partial 16S ribosomal RNA". It matches the Rfam family "Bacterial small subunit ribosomal RNA", at positions 524 to 776 of the family's 1533-position model. The record is from RNAcentral.